GACGAACGCUGGCGGCGUGCUUAACACAUGCAAGUCGAACGGAAAGGCCCUGCUUUUGUGGGGUGCUCGAGUGGCGAACGGGUGAGUAACACGUGAGUAACCUGCCCUUGACUUUGGGAUAACUUCAGGAAACUGGGGCUAAUACCGGAUAGGAGCUCCUGCUGCAUGGUGGUGGUUGGAAAGUUUCGGCGGUUGGGGAUGGACUCGCGGCUUAUCAGCUUGUUGGUGGGGUAGUGGCUUACCAAGGCUGUGACGGGUAGCCGGCCUGAGAGGGUGACCGGCCACAUUGGGACUGAGGGACGGCCCAGACUCCUACGGGAGGCAGCAGUGGGGAAUAUUGCACAAUGGGCGGAAGCCUGAUGCAGCAACGCCGCGUGCGGGAUGACGGCCUUCGGGUUGUAAACCGCUUUCGCCUGUGACGAAGCGGGAGUGACGGUAAUGGGUAAAGAAGCACCGGCUAACUACGUG
RNAcentral lists this ribosomal RNA (468 nucleotides) under uncultured bacterium. RNAcentral's name for it is "partial 16S ribosomal RNA". It matches the Rfam family "Bacterial small subunit ribosomal RNA", at positions 28 to 507 of the family's 1533-position model. The record is from RNAcentral.